CCUACGGGGCGCAGCAGUCGAGAAUCAUUCACAAUGGGGGAAACCCUGAUGGUGCGACGCCGCGUGGGGGAAUGAAGGUCUUCGGAUUGUAAACCCCUGUCAUGUGGGAGCAAAUUAAAAAGAUAGUACCACACGAGGAAGAGACGGCUAACUCUGUGCCAGCAGCCGCGGUAAUACAGAGGUCUCAAGCGUUGUUCGGAAUCACUGGGCGUAAAGCGUGCGUAGGCUGUUUCGUAAGUCGUGUGUGAAAGGCGCGGGCUCAACCCGCGGACGGCACAUGAUACUGCGAGACUAGAGUAAUGGAGGGGGAACCGGAAUUCUCGGUGUAGCAGUGAAAUGCGUAGAUAUCGAGAGGAACACUCGUGGCGAAGGCGGGUUCCUGGACAUUAACUGACGCUGAGGCACGAAGGCCAGGGGAGCGAAAGGGAUUAGAUACCCCUGUAGUC
This 446-nucleotide ribosomal RNA is filed under the name uncultured bacterium. RNAcentral describes it as "partial 16S ribosomal RNA". It matches the Rfam family "Bacterial small subunit ribosomal RNA", at positions 338 to 795 of the family's 1533-position model. The record is from RNAcentral.